GUCUAUGACCAUACCACCCUGAACGCACCCAAUCUCAUCUGAUCUCGAAAGUUAAGCAGGGUUGGGCCUGGUUAGUACUUGGAUGGGAGAAACAGGGUCUCCCUAUGUU
RNAcentral lists this ribosomal RNA (109 nucleotides) under Aotus nancymaae (Ma's night monkey). Lineage: Eukaryota; Metazoa; Chordata; Mammalia; Primates; Aotidae. The record is from RNAcentral.